Molecule: small RNA, 165 nt
Filed under: Frankia sp.
Lineage: Bacteria; Bacillati; Actinomycetota; Actinomycetes; Frankiales; Frankiaceae
Description: c-di-AMP sequence
Rfam family: c-di-AMP riboswitch aptamer (ydaO/yuaA leader)
About the family: This family represents a conserved RNA structure found upstream of the ydaO and yuaA genes in Bacillus subtilis and related genes in other bacteria. The ydaO/yuaA element is thought to act as a genetic "off" switch for the ydaO and yuaA genes in its native state. It is believed that the element may be triggered during osmotic shock leading to activation of ydaO, a predicted amino acid transporter gene, and members of the yuaA-yubG operon which code for KtrA and KtrB K+ transporters.
Source: RNAcentral
AACUAGUAAUCGCCAGGACAGAAGCGGGGGACCCACCUUCCUUCCGCCGGAUGUCGCCACCGCGGCGCCGUCCUUGGGGUGAAGUCGGCUGCGCGUUCCCGCGCGCCGACCGGGCUUCCCGGCCCGAACCCGACAGCUAACCUCGCAGGCGUAUGGGAAGGAUCA